Molecule: long non-coding RNA, 199 nt
Filed under: Elaeis guineensis (African oil palm)
Lineage: Eukaryota; Viridiplantae; Streptophyta; Magnoliopsida; Arecales; Arecaceae
Description: long non-coding RNA (EGUI_LNC034925)
Source: RNAcentral
CGAUGUUGAGGUUUGACGAUUUAUCUAUGAUCUAUCAUCUGGUCAGGCUUCACGAUAGAGAGACUGUAUCAUACGUUAACUGCAUCUAAAAGUUUAUCAUUUUUUAUUUUGCUGGAUUGCCACUAUAUACUGCUAGGUGUCACUGGUAGAUUGUGAGACCCACGAGCAUCAUUUCGAUGAUCGAUGAUCUUUGAUGGGC